UACAGAGACUGCAAGCGUUAUUCGGAUUCACUGGGCGUAAAGGGUGCGCAGGCGGCCAAGUGUGUGAGGCGUGUAAGCCCGGGGCUUAACCCCGGAAUUGCACCUCAAACUACAUGGCUAGAGCAUUGGAGAGGGUAGCAGAAUUCACGGUGUAGCAGUGAAAUGCGUAGAUAUCGUGAGGAAUACCAGAGGCGAAGGCGGCUACCUGGACAAUUGCUGACGCUCAGGCACGAAAGCGUGGGGAGCAAAAGGG
This 253-nucleotide ribosomal RNA is filed under the name uncultured bacterium. Its description in RNAcentral is "partial 16S ribosomal RNA". It matches the Rfam family "Bacterial small subunit ribosomal RNA", at positions 524 to 776 of the family's 1533-position model. The record is from RNAcentral.